GAGGCAGGCAUGCCAUGAACUGGAAAAUGUUUUUGAGAUCAAGGAAAAGCAGCAAAAAGGAAGGCGUUACUACUUAACUGAGAGAGGAGAUAAAAAUCUUUGUUCUUGAUGGUCUUGAUCCCACCUGCCUGGGUGCUGCAGCUCAGUGCUGCCUGAGAAAGCAAGUGACCAAGAGGAGCAGAAGACUACCAGGUAUCAGGUGCUUUGGGUUGACUAUGAAGAGCUAGAAAAGAAACUCAAUAUUCACCCAUCCAAAUUUUCAAGGAAAAAAGGAAGAAAAACCUGCAUAUGCACAACGUCUAAGACAUAACAAAACAUGAAUCACUCAUCUGUCACGAUUGCCUACAUCUGUAUCCAGGACUGGCUUGCUGACCUGUACCUC
RNAcentral lists this long non-coding RNA (382 nucleotides) under Homo sapiens (human). RNAcentral's name for it is "HSALNT0146811". The record is from RNAcentral. Lineage: Eukaryota; Metazoa; Chordata; Mammalia; Primates; Hominidae.